CAGUGGCGUACGGGUGAGUAACACGUGGGUAAUCUGCCUUUUAGUGGGGAAUAACGAUGGGAAACCGUCGCUAAUACCGCAUAAUCCCGAGAGGGGAAAGCAGCAAUGCGCUGAAAGAGGAGCCCGCGGCCGAUUAGCUAGUUGGUGAGGUAAGAGCCCACCAAGGCAGAGAUCGGUAGCCGGCCUGAGAGGGCACACGGCCACACUGGCACUGAAACACGGGCCAGACUCCUACGGGAGGCAGCAGUGGGGAAUCUUGCACAAUGGGGGCAACCCUGAUGCAGCGACGCCGCGUGAGCGAUGAAGCCCUUCGGGGUGUAAAGCUCUUUCGGCAGGGAAGAUGAUGACGGUACCUGCAGAAGCAGCUGCGGCUAACUACGUGCCAGCAGCCGCGGUAAUACGUAGGCAGCGAGCGUUGCUCGGAGUUACUGGGCGUAAAGGGUGUGUAGGCGGUUCUUUAAGUUUGGUGUGAAAUCUCCCGGCUUAACCGGGAGGGUGCGCCGAAUACUGAGGGACUAGAGUGCGGGAGAGGAAAGUGGAAUUCCUGGUGUAGCGGUGAAAUGCGUAGAUAUCAGGAGGAACACCGGUGGUGUAGACGGCUUUCUGGACCGUAAC
Molecule: ribosomal RNA, 615 nt
Filed under: uncultured bacterium
Lineage: Bacteria
Description: bacterial SSU rRNA
Rfam family: Bacterial small subunit ribosomal RNA
Source: RNAcentral